This is a non-coding RNA of Echinostoma caproni, 45 nucleotides long. The record is from Rfam. Lineage: Eukaryota; Metazoa; Platyhelminthes; Trematoda; Plagiorchiida; Echinostomatidae.
GCACUGCUGACGAGUCCUAAACAGGAUGAAACAGCUAUCCAGUGC